GAUGAACGCUGGCGGCGUGCCUAAUACAUGCAAGUCGAGCGAACAGACGAGGAGCUUGCUCCUCUGACGUUAGCGGCGGACGGGUGAGUAACACGUGGAUAACCUACCUAUAAGACUGGGAUAACUUCGGGAAACCGGAGCUAAUACCGGCUCAUAUAUUGAACCGCAUGGUUCAAUAGUGAGAGACGGUUUUGCUGUCACUUAUAGAUGGAUCCGCGCCGCAUUAGCUAGUUGGUAAGGUAACGGCUUACCAAGGCAACGAUGCGUAGCCGACCUGAGAGGGUGAUCGGCCACACUGGAACUGAGACACGGUCCAGACUCCUACGGGAGGCAGCAGUAGGGAAUCUUCCGCAAUGGGCGAAAGCCUGACGGAGCAACGCCGCGUGAGUGAUGAAGGUCUUCGGAUCGUAAAACUCUGUUAUUAGGGAAGAACAAAUGUGUAAGUAACUAUGCACGUCUUGACGGUACCUAAUCAGAAAGCCACGGCUAACUACGUG
Molecule: ribosomal RNA, 497 nt
Filed under: uncultured bacterium
Lineage: Bacteria
Description: partial 16S ribosomal RNA
Rfam family: Bacterial small subunit ribosomal RNA
Source: RNAcentral